Aricia agestis (brown argus) is the source of this 1329-nucleotide long non-coding RNA. RefSeq lists it as uncharacterized. Lineage: Eukaryota; Metazoa; Arthropoda; Insecta; Lepidoptera; Lycaenidae. The record is from RefSeq and is a predicted model, not a curated record. The transcript has 2 exons.
CGCGAAAACGCGCGCAAACACAACGGUGUACACUCAUGAAGGACCUCGGACGUUAACGGAACAUAUAAUAAAAUGUUAAUCGAUUAAAAUUAGCGAGUCUUAGUUAUUCGUUAUAUUGAAUAGAUGUUUAGCAUUCGUUUUUUUUUUGUUAUUCUAAAGUCUGGACUUAAUUUCGAACAUAUCAAGCUAAUUUGGUCACGUGUUAGAAGUAAAGAUUGUAAAUGUCCAUUUGCAUUAGUCGAAUCACUUUAUUUUUACUAUAAACAAUAAAGGAAUUGAAAGCUUAGGCUCUACGACUAAGCUUCCACAGCCAUGGAUUUGAGUAACACCUGAGCUUGCUCUAUUUGUGAUACAACCAUUCUGUAUACUAAUCUGUCCAAAACCCAUUAAGUUUCUACUGGCUGAUCAGAUUUGUAACGACGUCUAUUACAUAUAAUAAUUUUGUUAUUAAAAUAUUUGAAAGUAUACUUCACAAAUACUUGAUGUUUUUCUAUCAUAAUUAGUUUUGCAUUUAUAUUCAAUUUGUUAGGUAUUUUGUUCAAAAUGCGUAGGUAUAUUUCGUAAAAUAAAUCGUAAUAUUACAACCUACCAUUAUAAAGUUAUAUUAAGGAAACAGUACUUUCAAAUAUUUUAAAAACACAAAACCUAAAGUACCUCAGUAUAAAUGUUAAACUCAGUUGAUCCAACAGCUAUCUUCCAUAUACCUUUGUCAUUUCAUGUUACCAAAAGAGGCAACAGGUACUUCAUAAUCAUGCCUCAUGUUUAGCUUCACCCGCAAAUCUGUCUACUUGUCAAAGAGGUUAAAAUUUAACCAUGGCCCAUACCUGAUUCAUCUUAUUUUAUUAGUAAGUUUAUGUUGUCAACCAAAUAUUAUUUGUAAAUAUCGAAAGUUAGCUGUUGGAGCACAUCUCGACAGUCGGUCGACAGUUUAACAAUCUGCCCGUCUUUGCAGAUAACAAUAAGGAUGUGUUCAUUUGUAAUUGUAAUGAUUUUUACACUGGCGUAUUGCAACCUUGCCGCAAUAAAUGCUUAACUUUAUUUGUUAUUGAUUUUUUAACAAAUAAUGUGCGAGAAGUACUGUAAGAAUUUAAGGAUUUUAUAAAUAAAAUACAAAAAAAAUAAAAUAAAUGUAAUGAAAGUUCCAAAAAUACUUUAAAAUUAGUCUACGACGGUACUUGUAAAAUUAAAUGCAUAUUUUUGAAUAUAGCUCAUAAACCAAACCUAUUUUCUGUAAUCGGUUAGAAUUGUAAAUAUGUUUUAAUUGUAACUUACUUAACAGUAGGUCAUUUAGUUUUAAAUAUAAAUGGUACAAUAUAUGUUUUGACAUAA